UUAUGGGUAGUGGUAAGCUACCAUGUAGAAGCUGGGAAUGGAACCCAGGUCCCUUGAAAGUGCUUUCAACUGCUGAGCC
This 79-nucleotide microRNA precursor is filed under the name Microtus ochrogaster (prairie vole). RNAcentral's name for it is "miRNA (ENSMOCG00000011440.1)". The record is from RNAcentral. Lineage: Eukaryota; Metazoa; Chordata; Mammalia; Rodentia; Cricetidae.